AGGGGCCUGGGCACACGCCAUGCUCAUUUACAUUUUCAGGCUAAUUAAAAGAACCAUGCCUGCUUUGUGGCGUGCAAAGCCCUGGAACAGCUCCAGGGCCCCCAGUCACAGGCUGCAGGCCUGGGCUGGGGCACAAAGCAAGCACAGGCUGGCCAGGGACUAAAGGACUCUGUAAGAUCAGAGCGUGGCUGAUGCCUGCAGCAGAACACAGACCCUGCAAACAACUAUCUUCCUUCCCUGCCUCCGAGAAAGAUUCAUUCAUAUUGUUGUGGCUGAGAGGCUCUUCCUACCUGUCUCUUCUCUCCCUGCCUGCUGUGUGCCUUGAAUAUUGAUGGAGAUCUGUCUCUUCCUGCCGAAAGAAGCCCAGAACCGGCUUACACGAGGAGGAUCUGCAAAUGCACCAGGCGAGGUCAGGAGGCGUGCAAGUAUCUUCUGCCCUAAGCAGAACAAUUAUUCUUGUUUGGUGAAGACUAGAAGUGAUGCUUGUUUCCUAGAAAAAGGAGCUAUUCUGCUGUCCCCAAGCCGGACCAAGCCUGCAGUAAGGCUCACUGCAGGGAGCACGUGGCCAGCGGCUCCGACUUCGGCAGACCUUCGCGUGUAG
Molecule: long non-coding RNA, 601 nt
Filed under: Dromaius novaehollandiae (emu)
Lineage: Eukaryota; Metazoa; Chordata; Aves; Casuariiformes; Dromaiidae
Description: lncRNA (ENSDNVG00000000897.1)
Source: RNAcentral